Molecule: ribosomal RNA, 384 nt
Filed under: Planococcus sp. (in: firmicutes)
Lineage: Bacteria; Bacillati; Bacillota; Bacilli; Caryophanales; Caryophanaceae
Description: bacterial SSU rRNA
Rfam family: Bacterial small subunit ribosomal RNA
Source: RNAcentral
AUACGUAGGUGGCAAGCGUUGUCCGGAAUUAUUGGGCGUAAAGCGCGCGCAGGCGGUCCUUUAAGUCUGAUGUGAAAGCCCACGGCUCAACCGUGGAAGGUCAUUGGAAACUGGGGGACUUGAGUGCAGGAGAGGAAAGUGGAAUUCCACGUGUAGCGGUGAAAUGCGUAGAGAUGUGGAGGAACACCAGUGGCGAAGGCGACUUUCUGGCCUGUAACUGACGCUGAGGCGCGAAAGCGUGGGGAGCAAACAGGAUUAGAUACCCUGGUAGUCCACGCCGUAAACGAUGAGUGCUAAGUGUUAGGGGGUUUCCGCCCCUUAGUGCUGCAGCUAACGCAUUAAGCACUCCGCCUGGGGAGUACGGCCGCAAGGCUGAAACUCAAA